GAUUAAGUUAUUAAGGGCGCACGGUGGAUGCCUUGGCACUAGAAGCCGAUGAAGGACGUUACUAACGACGAUAUGCUUUGGGGAGCUGUAAGUAAGCUUUGAUCCAGAGAUUUCCGAAUGGGGAAACCCAGCAUGAGUUAUGUCAUGUUAUCGAUAUGUGAAUACAUAGCAUAUCAGAAGGCACACCCGGAGAACUGAAACAUCUUAGUACCCGGAGGAAGAGAAAGAAAAUUCGAUUCCCUUAGUAGCGGCGAGCGAAACGGGAAGAGCCCAAACCAACAAGCUUGCUUGUUGGGGUUGUAGGACACUCUAUACGGAGUUACAAAGGACGACAUUAGACGAAUCAUCUGGAAAGAUGAAUCAAAGAAGGUAAUAAUCCUGUAGUCGAAAAUGUUGUCUCUCUUGAGUGGAUCCUGAGUACGACGGAGCACGUGAAAUUCCGUCGGAAUCUGGGAGGACCAUCUCCUAAGGCUAAAUACUCUCUAGUGACCGAUAGUGAACCAGUACCGUGAGGGAAAGGUGAAAAGCACCCCGGAAGGGGAGUGAAAUAGAACCUGAAACCGUGUGCUUACAAGUAGUCAGAGCCCGUUAAUGGGUGAUGGCGUGCCUUUUGUAGAAUGAACCGGCGAGUUACGAUUUGAUGCAAGGUUAAGCAGUAAAUGUGGAGCCGUAGCGAAAGCGAGUCUGAAUAGGGCGUUUAGUAUUUGGUCGUAGACCCGAAACCAGGUGAUCUACCCUUGGUCAGGUUGAAGUUCAGGUAACACUGAAUGGAGGACCGAACCGACUUACGUUGAAAAGUGAGCGGAUGAACUGAGGGUAGCGGAGAAAUUCCAAUCGAACCUGGAGAUAGCUGGUUCUCUCCGAAAUAGCUUUAGGGCUAGCCUCAAGUGAUGAUUAUUGGAGGUAGAGCACUGUUUGGACGAGGGGCCCCUCUCGGGUUACCGAAUUCAGACAAACUCCGAAUGCCAAUUAAUUUAACUUGGGAGUCAGAACAUGGGUGAUAAGGUCCGUGUUCGAAAGGGAAACAGCCCAGACCACCAGCUAAGGUCCCAAAAUAUAUGUUAAGUGGAAAAGGAUGUGGCGUUGCCCAGACAACUAGGAUGUUGGCUUAGAAGCAGCCAUCAUUUAAAGAGUGCGUAAUAGCUCACUAGUCGAGUGACACUGCGCCGAAAAUGUACCGGGGCUAAACAUAUUACCGAAGCUGUGGAUUGUCCUUUGGACAAUGGUAGGAGAGCGUUCUAAGGGCGUUGAAGCAUGAUCGUAAGGACAUGUGGAGCGCUUAGAAGUGAGAAUGCCGGUGUGAGUAGCGAAAGACGGGUGAGAAUCCCGUCCACCGAUUGACUAAGGUUUCCAGAGGAAGGCUCGUCCGCUCUGGGUUAGUCGGGUCCUAAGCUGAGGCCGACAGGCGUAGGCGAUGGAUAACAGGUUGAUAUUCCUGUACCACCUAUAAUCGUUUUAAUCGAUGGGGGGACGCAGUAGGAUAGGCGAAGCGUGCGAUUGGAUUGCACGUCUAAGCAGUAAGGCUGAGUAUUAGGCAAAUCCGGUACUCAUUAAGGCUGAGCUGUGAUGGGGAGAAGACAUUGUGUCUUCGAGUCGUUGAUUUCACACUGCCGAGAAAAGCCUCUAGAUAGAAAAUAGGUGCCCGUACCGCAAACCGACACAGGUAGUCAAGAUGAGAAUUCUAAGGUGAGCGAGCGAACUCUCGUUAAGGAACUCGGCAAAAUGACCCCGUAACUUCGGGAGAAGGGGUGCUCUUUAGGGUUAACGCCCAGAAGAGCCGCAGUGAAUAGGCCCAAGCGACUGUUUAUCAAAAACACAGGUCUCUGCUAAACCGUAAGGUGAUGUAUAGGGGCUGACGCCUGCCCGGUGCUGGAAGGUUAAGAGGAGUGGUUAGCUUCUGCGAAGCUACGAAUCGAAGCCCCAGUAAACGGCGGCCGUAACUAUAACGGUCCUAAGGUAGCGAAAUUCCUUGUCGGGUAAGUUCCGACCCGCACGAAAGGCGUAACGAUUUGGGCACUGUCUCAACGAGAGACUCGGUGAAAUCAUAGUACCUGUGAAGAUGCAGGUUACCCGCGACAGGACGGAAAGACCCCGUGGAGCUUUACUGUAGCCUGAUAUUGAAAUUCGGCACAGCUUGUACAGGAUAGGUAGGAGCCUUUGAAACGUGAGCGCUAGCUUACGUGGAGGCGCUGGUGGGAUACUACCCUAGCUGUGUUGGCUUUCUAACCCGCACCACUUAUCGUGGUGGGAGACAGUGUCAGGCGGGCAGUUUGACUGGGGCGGUCGCCUCCUAAAAGGUAACGGAGGCGCUCAAAGGUUCCCUCAGAAUGGUUGGAAAUCAUUCAUAGAGUGUAAAGGCAUAAGGGAGCUUGACUGCGAGACCUACAAGUCGAGCAGGGUCGAAAGACGGACUUAGUGAUCCGGUGGUUCCGCAUGGAAGGGCCAUCGCUCAACGGAUAAAAGCUACCCCGGGGAUAACAGGCUUAUCUCCCCCAAGAGUUCACAUCGACGGGGAGGUUUGGCACCUCGAUGUCGGCUCAUCGCAUCCUGGGGCUGUAGUCGGUCCCAAGGGUUGGGCUGUUCGCCCAUUAAAGCGGUACGCGAGCUGGGUUCAGAACGUCGUGAGACAGUUCGGUCCCUAUCCGUCGUGGGCGUAGGAAAUUUGAGAGGAGCUGUCCUUAGUACGAGAGGACCGGGAUGGACAUACCUCUGGUGUACCAGUUGUCGUGCCAACGGCAUAGCUGGGUAGCUAUGUGUGGACGGGAUAAGUGCUGAAAGCAUCUAAGCAUGAAGCCCCCCUCAAGAUGAGAUUUCCCAACUUCGGUUAUAAGAUCCCUCAAAGAUGAUGAGGUUAAUAG
RNAcentral lists this ribosomal RNA (2858 nucleotides) under Staphylococcus aureus. Its description in RNAcentral is "partial 23S ribosomal RNA". It matches the Rfam family "Bacterial large subunit ribosomal RNA". The record is from RNAcentral. Lineage: Bacteria; Bacillati; Bacillota; Bacilli; Caryophanales; Staphylococcaceae.